RNAcentral lists this microRNA precursor (267 nucleotides) under Medicago truncatula (barrel medic). Its description in RNAcentral is "MIR2655 microRNA precursor family". It matches the Rfam family "MIR2655 microRNA precursor family". The record is from Rfam by way of RNAcentral. Lineage: Eukaryota; Viridiplantae; Streptophyta; Magnoliopsida; Fabales; Fabaceae.
GGCUUAAUUACUCAUUUAGUCCCUUAACUUAUUUUUUGGUUUUGUUUUGGUCCCUUAACUAUUAAAAGUUUCGUUUUGGUCCCUUAACUCUAAUACAUUCAUCUAACAUAAAGGACCAAAGUGGUUGACGGAGGAAGAGUUAAGGGACCAAAAUGAAACCAAAAAAUAAGUUAAGGGACCAAAACGAAACUUUUAAUAGUUAAGGGACCAAAACGAAACCAAAAAGUAAGUUAAGGGACCAAAACGAAACUUUUAAUAGUUAAGGGA